GACGAACGCUGGCGGCGUGCUUAACACAUGCAAGUCGAGCGGUAAGGCCCUUUCGGGGGUACACGAGCGGCGAACGGGUGAGUAACACGUGGGUGACCUGCCCUUAGCUCUGGGAUAAGCCUGGGAAACCGGGUCUAAUACCGGAUAUGACUCCGCGGCGCAUGUUGUGGGGUGGAAAGCCUUGUGCGGCUGGAGAUGGGCCCGCGGCCUAUCAGCUUGUUGGUGGGGUGAUGGCCUACCAAGGCGACGACGGGUAGCUGGCGUGAGAGCGCGACCAGCCACACUGGGACUGAGACACGGCCCAGACUCCUACGGGAGGCAGCAGUGGGGAAUCUUGCGCAAUGGGCGAAAGCCUGACGCAGCGACGCCGCGUGCGGGAAGAAGGCCUU
This 389-nucleotide ribosomal RNA is filed under the name uncultured bacterium. RNAcentral's name for it is "bacterial SSU rRNA". It matches the Rfam family "Bacterial small subunit ribosomal RNA", at positions 28 to 418 of the family's 1533-position model. The record is from RNAcentral.